CAACCAAUUGUGAUGCUACAAACAGAGGAUUAUGGCUUUAGGUGGGAAAUAAACAGCAGGAACAGAUGAACACUUAAGAAACAAAGAUCCUGUUUUCAUGCAAAUGUCUUUUGUCAUCAAGAACAAGAGGUGUUCCCUUCAGCCAGCAACAGAGCUGCAUGAGGCAUAGAAGUCAACUCUCUAAAAACUGGUCUUCAAUAAUUAAGGGUCCAUAGAAGAAUCUUUCAGCCCUUCAAGCAGCAGGACUGGCAGACUGAUCAGCCUCCCAGCUCCCCCCUGCCCUUCCAGCACUGCUCCCCAUCCCCUUGGGCCAUGCCCAGGACCAAAGGCCACACUCCAGCUUCAGGCACGAGGGAUUACAUCAUGCAUCUUCCAGAAUACAGCCUGACAUCCUUUUCUGCAAGCCCUGGACUUAGGUGGAUGGCAGACCACAGCCUCCCCCGCUGCAGGCUGACUGCCUCUGCAGCACUCUGCAAAUAUACAGUCCUUCACACUGGAGACCACCGUGCUGAUAAACCUCUGCAAACUUUUCUCCAGAUAUGAAUGCUAUGACAGGAAUCUGUUGCUUUAUUUCCCAAGCCGUAUCUACAACAGACACUCAAACUGCUCCCAAAAUAAUACCCGGUUACUAUUAAACCUGGUUUUGAAAUUUGUGUUGGCAGAGACAAACAGAGCCAUCUAGCAGCUCCUCACCAGAGAACCUCCGCCUCAAACCUUAUCUGACAACGCACCUUUAGAUACCAGCAGAUGUAUCCUCACACGUAGGAAGCUAAAAGGAGCAUGCUAUUAACAAAUGCAGGUGUUGGAAACUUGGCAGGGCCCCCAAAAUCCACCACUUUAAUAUUUCUAUAACCCACAAAAGCAGGGCUUAUGAAUACAACUGCACUAACGGCGCUCACUGUGUAUUAACUUCUCUGUUCUCUGAGAACGAUGAGGACAGGCUUGGCUUUGGCUUCUCCAUACCUCAAGUGAAUUGAGGCAUUUGGUUACGUCCAUAGAAACAAAGUGUUCUUGACAGCCUUCAUCAAGGAGAUGUCAAACAAACAUUAUCUAUGCAUCCGUCAUUGCUCCAGCUCUUGUUUUUAUAUUAUCUGACUUCAGAGAAAUUGAGAAAAAGGUGACACUUCUAAAGAAGAUGAAGUAUAUUACCUAAUGAUAGUGCUUUCCUGAGACACUUCCUCGUGAAGCAGACGUUUAGUGACCGUGGCAGAACCGAAUGUGGAACUUGGGAGACCGACAGCUGUUAAACUCGGGACUUCAGAUUACACUCAAAAGGAAAAGGACAUUUUAUUCGCCUUGGAUUUCUAGAACACACCAUAGCUUUUGAGGAAUGCAUCUAGCUCAUUAGAAGUACAAGCCCAUUUAUUUUUCCAGCAUGGUGACAGAUAGCGAAUGAGAAGACAUCUGCUAAAAUAGAAUGGCAGUAAUAAUGUUAGAUGGACACCUAUCUGUCUCCCUUAAAAAUCCAAUACAGCACUGCUGUAAUUCGCUCUCAAUAACGGGCCAUCAAUUAAUCUUUUGCAAGAGAGGUUUAGACCAUAAACUUGUAUUGAUUUUAAAAUUAAGAAUAAAACUGGAAAACAGCCACAUGCAGAACAUCUUCCAAAAGCGUUUCACAAGACAGACCUUUUGCUUCCCAGCUUAAUCUCUGCAAAUUUAUAUACUUAGAAAAACGAGAAGGAAUGCCUUGCUAGAUUCACCACAGAACGAGCGUUGCAGUAACCUGCAGUAACCGUGGCAAAAUCUGCCCCCGCCGUUGCAGUGGGUGCUCCUUGCCUUAAAGACAAUUUCACACUGUCUAAACUUGUUGAAUCCAAGAGGAAAUCAAUGUUUACCACCCCGAGCAACAAAGGGAAUUAGUUCCCAGCCAACCUGUGAGAAGGCAUUUAUUUUCUAUCCUUGAAAGAGCUUUACAUCUCACACUCAGAAUACCUGGAGAUCUCACUCAAUGUAAUCUCUAAUCCUCCAUCUCAAAGCCUUCUGUCUACCUCCACAAGCCACAUUUGGGAAAAAUAACUUUACUAAAAGAGGACCGUACAUUGCAAAAGCUUGUUUUUAAUCGACUAAUAAAACUGGAAGCAUUCAACAAGGGGCUGUGGCUUUCAAGGGACCAUACACUGGGAAUAUGACUUCCUCCUGCAACAGUGAAAAUGUUUCACCAUUAUAAUGAAAAUACUUAAUCUGAUAAAAGUCACAAGAGGCACUGCCUUGCAAUGAGAAUCAGGGAAAAUUUGGGAAGAGAUGCCGUGUAGGCUACCAGCAAUAUAACAGAGGGUUACGUGUUAAUAAAGCUGACAUUGCAAACUCUCUUUGUAUUUAGGUCACUGCCCCACGUUACGUUGCUUUUGUCAUUUACUAACUUGUAAACUUAUAAUGCAUCAAGUCAGCAGAGCAGGCCCACUGAUUUUGGCCACAAGUAACACAGGAGGUCACAAACCUCACUGACCUUUUUCUUUUUCUCCCCAGAGGGAGGAGCGAGAGGGCUUAUACCUUUUAACUGUGUGUCAUACAAGCAGCGAUCAGAAAACAGACUGCUUUAGUGUUUCCCACUAAUAAAAUACCCAAAUUCUGGAAAAGUCUUUCCAGUGCCACUGCAAACACUCCAGGGAUAAGCAAACAUCAGUUUCUGAUAUGCUUGAGGAGUCACUGAAAGCUAUUCUCCCUCCAUUCCCAACACGGUAACAGUCGUUGCUCCUCUGUUUACACACAAGACACGAAAUACAGAUACGAAGGACUAAACUUUAGGACUGUGUACAUUUGAAGUGAGUUCACCACAAGCAAAAUGUUACUAACGCAGCAUCAGACAAACCACACACGAGCUCCCAUAGCCCAGCAAGCUUCAACUUCAUCUCUCAAAUGGAGAGUUCUAGGUGCUGAAAGAAAAAAGGCUCAAAUAAACCCUUCGUGUCUACUUCAAUAAACAUAACCACAGCUCCUGUGAAAACUACAGCUGCUCCAUUUAGCAUUAUCAGAUUUACUUUACAAAAUACAGAGAUACGUUUUAAUUUCCAAAUGAUCCUUAGAGGGAACAAAAUAGGAUGGCAGUGCUUGUGGGGAAUGCGGUGUUAUUAAAACGAUAAAUCCCAUCAAAAAGAAAAUAGUUUGGGUUUUUUUAAUUUUUUUUUCCAGUGCUGAAAAGGGUGAAAAUGGCUUUCCGAGAGCUCAGCUGAAAAUUUAAAUUUAUUUUUUCCUUCCAGUGGUGAAAAGGGUAUAAAAAUGGUUUCCCAGAAGUUUAGCAGACAAUAUUUUAUUCACGUAAAGCAAAUGUUUUGUUUCCUUUGUCGCUUCUCUGAGUAAUAAUGAGUGUUUUUAAAGAAAAGCAAGCUUUGAAACACCACGCUAAAUUCUUCUCCAGCAAAGCAGUCAAAUUUGUGUCUUACACUCCAGCGUAUACCCAAGAUGCAUUGACUCCAACAGGACAUCAGUGUUGCCUGAAGCACCUGGCUAGCAGAGCUCCUUUCCUACCUGACCCAGCAAUUAAGAGGUCCUCAUUUAUUUUACCAAAAGAUGAAGGGCAAUGCCUGCACUGCAACACUCUGCCCAUCUCUCAGCUGCACGCAGGCUGGGACCUCGCUGUGUGCCAGGGCACCAGCAAGCAGGGCACAUGCUCCAUGGCUCUGUGGAAAUCAUGGCAAACACCCACAGCACCAAAGGAAGGAGGUUAACAUGUUAGCUCUCUGUCUUGGUAGAGAUUUACUGCACACACACUUUUUUCUGUGCAAUAAACAAACAGUAUUUUGAAAUCUGGGUGCUUUAAGGAAAUGCUUCAGUUCGUGCCAAGGUUAAGCCUGUCUCUGUUCUGCAACCACUUCAACGCAACCACCGUGCCUGCAGUGAUAAGCUCCAAUCCACUCCUCACCAGCCAGCACCACAGCGUUUGGGCUCCUCACAUUGCUGCUGUUGUUCCAGCCACCCCACAACCAGCUUCUUCUCUGCACCUUCUUCUUUCCAUUUCUACCCAGCCACAACAGCCGUACUUCCCCAGGCUUCCCACCUCUGGUAGCAUGUUGCCCCAUGCUCUCUCAGCAUCCCUAACCCUCAGGCUAGUAGAAUGAGAAAGGAAGAAAUGGAAGCAAUGACAUAUUAUAACUGAGCAAUGGUUGUGCAGCUUCAGAGCCCUAUCUGUCACUGUUCUGGAGCAAAGGAAGAAAAUACCUUUGCUUGUCAAUGCCUCAUCCAGUAGGUGAAAAACAUCAGUACGGAAAAGGUUCAAAGGCAAGAAGAAAACAAAGACAAAUUUCAAAAGGCAGCCAAUGUUGGUAACUCUGUCGCAAGCACUGAAGUAUGGGAUUUCACAGCAGGAUGAAGAAAAUCACACACCUGCUAACUUUAAACUUGAGGCGCUAUGAAGCAGAUUUGUUUCUAUUUCAUCUCCAUCUGACAUGGGUGAUCAGU
Long non-coding RNA from Gallus gallus (chicken), 4395 nucleotides. RefSeq lists it as uncharacterized. The transcript is spliced from 3 exons. The record is from RefSeq and is a predicted model, not a curated record. NCBI's taxonomy places the organism in Eukaryota, Metazoa, Chordata, Aves, Galliformes, Phasianidae.